Molecule: ribosomal RNA, 696 nt
Filed under: uncultured bacterium
Lineage: Bacteria
Description: bacterial SSU rRNA
Rfam family: Bacterial small subunit ribosomal RNA
Source: RNAcentral
AACGCUAGCUACAGGCUUAACACAUGCAAGUCGAGGGGAAACGACAUCGAAAGCUUGCUUUUGAUGGGCGUCGACCGGCGCACGGGUGAGUAACGCGUAUCCAACCUGCCCACCACUUGGGGAUAACCUUGCGAAAGUAAGACUAAUACCCGAUGAUAUCUCUAGAAGACAUCUGAAAGGGAUUAAAGAUUUAUCGGUGAUGGAUGGGGAUGCGUCUGAUUAGCUUGUUGGCGGGGUAACGGCCCACCAAGGCUACGAUCAGUAGGGGUUCUGAGAGGAAGGUCCCCCACAUUGGAACUGAGACACGGUCCAAACUCCUACGGGAGGCAGCAGUGAGGAAUAUUGGUCAAUGGGCGAGAGCCUGAACCAGCCAAGUAGCGUGCAGGACGACGGCCCUAUGGGUUGUAAACUGCUUUUAUAAGGGAAUAAAGUGAGUCUCGUGAGGCUUUUUGCAUGUACCUUAUGAAUAAGGACCGGCUAAUUCCGUGCCAGCAGCCGCGGUAAUACGGAAGGUCCGGGCGUUAUCCGGAUUUAUUGGGUUUAAAGGGAGCGUAGGCCGGAGAUUAAGCGUGUUGUGAAAUGUAGACGCUCAACGUCUGCACUGCAGCGCGAACUGGUUUCCUUGAGUACGCACAAAGUGGGCGGAAUUCGUGGUGUAGCGGUGAAAUGCUUAGAUAUCACGAAGAACUCCGAUUG